This 253-nucleotide ribosomal RNA is filed under the name uncultured bacterium. Its description in RNAcentral is "partial 16S ribosomal RNA". It matches the Rfam family "Bacterial small subunit ribosomal RNA", at positions 524 to 776 of the family's 1533-position model. The record is from RNAcentral.
UACGGGGGGGGUAAGCGUUGUUCGGAAUUACUGGGCGUAAAGGGCUCGUAGGCGGCCAACUAAGUCAGACGUGAAAUCCCCCAGCUUAGCUGGGGAACUGCGUCUGAUACUGGAUGGCUUGGAUUCGGGAGAGGAAUGCGGAAUUCCAGGUGUAGCGGUGAAAUGCGUAGAUAUCUGGAGGAACACCGGUGGCGAAGGCGGCAUUCUGGACCGAUAUUGACGCUGAGGAGCGAAAGCCAGGGGAGCAAACGGG